This is a long non-coding RNA of Ictalurus punctatus (channel catfish), 1371 nucleotides long. The record is from Ensembl. Lineage: Eukaryota; Metazoa; Chordata; Actinopteri; Siluriformes; Ictaluridae.
CCAAUUUGCGAGUAAUCUGAAAAGGGAUGUAGUACCCAGUGAGUUUUGCAGCAGAAGCUGUGUGCUUAUCAGACUAGCUAAAGCGAUCAGUGUUAAUGUGGCAAGAGACCCGGAUACCGAACUCCCACGUGUGCUUUCCAACACAUUCAAGGGUAAUAUUACGCUGCUCAGAAUCAAGCUGUGAGAAUUAUGGGAUUCUUCUUAUUAAAAAGCAUUAUACAGGGUGUCUCCAUAUGUAGGGGGACCACGUCUGCCAGCACCACGUCACUCAUGGAUGUCCACUUCCAGUCUUUCUGAAUUUGUUAAUAAGUUCGGCAGCAGUGUCGUGUGUGUGUGUGUGUGUGUGACGUGUUCGCCACGUUUCCUGUUAAAGUCCAUCACAACCUUGGGACAGCUUCCAGAUCCAGCCAUGGGAACGAUUUCAAUAAAGGUGUACUUACAAGGCUAUCUGAAAAAUAUAUAUAUAUAUAUAUAUAUACACACACACUACCAGUCAAAAGUUUGUGGACACCCAACUGAAAAGUUUCUCUUGAUAUUAAAAACCUUUUGAUGACAUGAAUAACAUUUUAUUUCCCCCCAAAAAAUUGUUUGAAACAGUCGACUCGGAGCAAAGUAUUCCGAAAAGCAGACGCUGUACUGCAUUCGUUAAAAUCAAUGCACAAGCGGUCGAUUUUUAUCAUUCUUUAUUCUUCUGAAACAACGGUAAAAUUUCCAUUCUUCUCGAGCUAAAGUCCAUCAAAAUGUCCCCUAGGUUACAAUUUCAUGAAUAAGAUAGAUUAAAAGAGAAGAGGAAGGAUGAGCCCGCAGACCCCGACAGAUAACACGUUUCCCCCUAAAACCACGUCCUCAUCAGCUCUGCCAAAGGGACAUGGAAUUACACCUCCUGAUGAAUCUAACCGAAGUGGAGCGUUAAGUAAACGAAUUGCACAUCAGCACGAACAUUUCCUUUACCCUGAAAAAUCAGUUUUACAUAGAUAUGUGAAACAACCUGUGUACAUAAUUACAGUUUUACAGCAGCGCCGCACAGCAAACUUAUCCAACAUCAUUCAAACAUGUGGGGCAUUUCAUGACACUUUCCUGACCCCAACGUGAUUUGGUCAUAUUUGCUCAUGUAUCUCUAAAUUUCAGCAUCGGUAAAAUAAAAGUUUGGUGCGUCGGGUUCAUGAAGGACUUUCACACUACGGAUGCAGAUAUAGCACGCUGCCCGGUAGAGAUGGAAGUGAGCCUGGAGGAGUGUGUCGCUGGCUAGAGGAAGUGUGUGUGGUGGCAGGAACAUCCAGUCUGCACCCACAGCAAGCUGUUUGCAGUACAGGCCUUCAUUAAGCCACAGUCCACGGUCCCUCUGUCCAGAAAAACAGCUCCAGAGACCUG